Molecule: ribosomal RNA, 1502 nt
Filed under: uncultured Acinetobacter sp.
Lineage: Bacteria; Pseudomonadati; Pseudomonadota; Gammaproteobacteria; Moraxellales; Moraxellaceae
Description: bacterial SSU rRNA
Rfam family: Bacterial small subunit ribosomal RNA
Source: RNAcentral
AGAGUUUGAUCCUGGCUCAGAUUGAACGCUGGCGGCAGGCCUAACACAUGCAAGUCGAGCGGUAGAGAGAAGCUUGCUUCUCUUGAGAGCGGCGGACGGGUGAGUAAUGCCUAGGAAUCUGCCUGGUAGUGGGGGAUAACGUUCGGAAACGGACGCUAAUACCGCAUACGUCCUACGGGAGAAAGCAGGGGAUCUUCGGACCUUGCGCUAAUAGAUGAGCCUAAGUCGGAUUAGCUAGUUGGUGGGGUAAAGGCCUACCAAGGCGACGAUCUGUAGCGGGUCUGAGAGGAUGAUCCGCCACACUGGGACUGAGACACGGCCCAGACUCCUACGGGAGGCAGCAGUGGGGAAUAUUGGACAAUGGGCGCAAGCCUGAUCCAGCCAUGCCGCGUGUGUGAAGAAGGCCUUAUGGUUGUAAAGCACUUUAAGCGAGGAGGAGGCUACUUUAGAUAAUACCUAGAGAUAGUGGACGUUACUCGCAGAAUAAGCACCGGCUAACUCUGUGCCAGCAGCCGCGGUAAUACAGAGGGUGCAAGCGUUAAUCGGAUUUACUGGGCGUAAAGCGCGCGUAGGCGGCUAAUUAAGUCAAAUGUGAAAUCCCCGAGCUUAACUUGGGAAUUGCAUUCGAUACUGGUUAGCUAGAGUGUGGGAGAGGAUGGUAGAAUUCCAGGUGUAGCGGUGAAAUGCGUAGAGAUCUGGAGGAAUACCGAUGGCGAAGGCAGCCAUCUGGCCUAACACUGACGCUGAGGUGCGAAAGCAUGGGGAGCAAACAGGAUUAGAUACCCUGGUAGUCCAUGCCGUAAACGAUGUCUACUAGCCGUUGGGGCCUUUGAGGCUUUAGUGGCGCAGCUAACGCGAUAAGUAGACCGCCUGGGGAGUACGGUCGCAAGACUAAAACUCAAAUGAAUUGACGGGGGCCCGCACAAGCGGUGGAGCAUGUGGUUUAAUUCGAUGCAACGCGAAGAACCUUACCUGGCCUUGACAUAGUAAGAACUUUCCAGAGAUGGAUUGGUGCCUUCGGGAACUUACAUACAGGUGCUGCAUGGCUGUCGUCAGCUCGUGUCGUGAGAUGUUGGGUUAAGUCCCGCAACGAGCGCAACCCUUUUCCUUAUUUGCCAGCGAGUAAUGUCGGGAACUUUAAGGAUACUGCCAGUGACAAACUGGAGGAAGGCGGGGACGACGUCAAGUCAUCAUGGCCCUUACGGCCAGGGCUACACACGUGCUACAAUGGUCGGUACAAAGGGUUGCUACACAGCGAUGUGAUGCUAAUCUCAAAAAGCCGAUCGUAGUCCGGAUUGGAGUCUGCAACUCGACUCCAUGAAGUCGGAAUCGCUAGUAAUCGCGGAUCAGAAUGCCGCGGUGAAUACGUUCCCGGGCCUUGUACACACCGCCCGUCACACCAUGGGAGUUUGUUGCACCAGAAGUAGCUAGCCUAACUGCAAAGAGGGCGGUUACCACGGUGUGGCCGAUGACUGGGGUGAAGUCGUAACAAGGUAGCCGUA